CGGCAGUUGACUCAGCAUCGUCAAUGCUAGCCAUGUUUCGAUCGCUCGAUACUGCUCCAGUACGAGUUCCAACUCAUGAAAUCUGUCAUCGCAUUUUCCUCGAAGUCAGUUAAUGAUGUCCUUCUUCUACUGAAUUCGGGCUUCUUGGAACUUGGCAGACUUUUGGGCUGAUUCCAACUCGAUUUUAGUUGACUCCAACUUGGCUUUUCAGUUGGAAGAUCUCUUUCUUGUGUUUCUCCUCUCAUACAGUCACCGCCUGAAGAAGUCCGACGGCAGCCUCUUUGUCGGCAUUUGCGGUGGCAAUCUUAUCAGUA
RNAcentral lists this long non-coding RNA (314 nucleotides) under Elaeis guineensis (African oil palm). RNAcentral describes it as "long non-coding RNA (EGUI_LNC004295)". Lineage: Eukaryota; Viridiplantae; Streptophyta; Magnoliopsida; Arecales; Arecaceae. The record is from RNAcentral.